This 337-nucleotide ribosomal RNA is filed under the name uncultured bacterium. RNAcentral describes it as "bacterial SSU rRNA". It matches the Rfam family "Bacterial small subunit ribosomal RNA", at positions 8 to 334 of the family's 1533-position model. The record is from RNAcentral.
AGAGUUCGAUUCUGGCUCAGGAUAAACGCUGGCGGCGCACAUAAGACAUGCAAGUCGAACGGACGGAAAUUUUUUGUUUACAAAGAAUGGAAGUUAGUGGCGGACUGGUGAGUAACGCGUAAGUAACCUGCCUAUCAGAGGGGAAUAACAUUGAGAAAUCAAUGCUAAUACCGCAUAUGCUCGAAGCAUCGCAUGAUGAAGCGAGGAAAGGAGGAAUCCGCUGAUAGAUGGACUUGCGUCUGAUUAGCUAGUUGGAGUGGUAAAGGCACACCAAGGCAACGAUCAGUAGCCGAACUGAGAGGUUAAACGGCCACAUUGGGACUGAGAUACGGCCCAG